This 551-nucleotide ribosomal RNA is filed under the name uncultured Glomeromycotina. RNAcentral's name for it is "SSU rRNA". It matches the Rfam family "Eukaryotic small subunit ribosomal RNA", at positions 548 to 1098 of the family's 1831-position model. Lineage: Eukaryota; Fungi; Glomeromycota. The record is from RNAcentral.
UUGGAGGGCAAGUCUGGUGCCAGCAGCCGCGGUAAUUCCAGCUCCAAUAGCGUAUAUUAAAGUUGUUGCAGUUAAAAAGCUCGUAGUUGAAUUUCGGGGUCUAUCCAUUGGUCGGGCUUUAUUGUCCGUACUGGUGUGAUGGGUUCCUACCUUCUGAAUAACCGGCAUGCCAUUCAUUUGGUGCGCCGGGGAAGCAGAGCUAUUACCUUGAAAAAAUUAGAGUGCUUAAAGCAGGCUAGUGCUUGAAUAGAUUAGCAUGGAAUAAUAAAAUAGGACGGCAUGGUUCUAUUUUGUUGGUUUCUAGGAUCACCGUAAUGAUUAAUAGGGAUAGUUGGGGGCAUUAGUAUUCAAUUGUCAGAGGUGAAAUUCUUGGAUUUAUUGAAGACUAACUACUGCGAAAGCAUUUGCCAAGGAUGUUUUCAUUAAUCAAGAACGAAAGUUAGGGGAUCGAAGACGAUCAGAUACCGUCGUAGUCUUAACCAUAAACUAUGCCGACUAGGGAUCGGACGAAGUUAAUUUUUUAAUGACUCGUUCGGCGCCUUACGGGAAAC